GUGAUAUAAACACGCUUAUUCUCUUCGUGCACCUUAAACCCUAAUUUAAAUAUCCUAUCAUUCUGGCCGUUUCACUUCGUUUCGCAAAGAAGAUAUCGAUCGUUCAUCCCCACAAACCCGAAUUUCAUCAACAAUCAUCAGGCAUGAGCAUAAUUUGGUGUAAAUCUUUGAUUCUUGCUUCCAAUUUAUGAUUCUCGAGGUAACAUAGUUGGAUUCACACCCAUCUCGCAAAUCCGGAUCGUAUCAUUUUUCUCAAACGUACAAGCUAACUUCUCUCAAACCCUAAAUCCGAAGACGCCAUUCAUCUUCAGCCGUUCAUCAUUGAUUCAAGUUUGAUAAACAAAGAUUUCAAGAUCAAUUCUACAAGGAAUAACACAUGUAAAGACAUUGCAACAUCCGUUACUAAGAAACCCUAAAGGGAGAGAAGCUAUAUUUGUAUAUCAAGAAUAUGUGUUGAUACGGAUUAGGCAGGGAGGAUUAGGAGGUGGUGUUGCCUCAGGGGUUUUGUUGAAAGGGGAUGACAAAAGAAGACGGUAAUGAUUUUGUUUUCUGUUCAUGUGAGGGUGGGGAAUUCUCAGAUCCGCCAUUUAUGGUGGUCUUUUCCCAGCUGGUGGUAUUGUUCAAAUUGUUGUGGUGGCUGGAGGUGGGGCUUGGUUGAAUAAGAGAUAGAUAAAGCACCGAUUACAGAGACCUUGAGCACAAGGGGUUGCACUCCUUGGUGGAUUCCGUUUGUCUUCUACACGCGGAUUCUUUUGAGUCUGGCCCGGUUUAAUUCGAUAAUCUUCGUUGUGACAGUGGGCUGUUCAGAUGGAGCAGCGGCGGUCGCCAAAAAGUGACACCCGACGAUUGAAUACGGAGCAACGUUUCAGGUGGUUUCUAGACCCUAUCGAGUUGUUAAAAGCUUUGGUGUGAUUUGGUGAUGAGAGGCCAUCACUCGUGUUCAAUUUAUAGGUAUUUAGGGGCUGUGUGGAUGGUUAAAAAGUCCUGAAAGGACAGCGGUAAUGGCUCUCAAAACUAGACAACAAAGUCACACUUUUAGGCGUGAUUUCGAGACAGCAUUGUGAGGUACAAUGCAGCAGUGAGUUGGGAUCUUUUGCAGUCGUUCGAGAGGUGCUUCACGGUCCGAAACUCUCUACAAACAACCACGACAAGUGUUGGUAAGGGCUGCCAAAACAGAUCGAGAACGUGAAGAAAACCAUGAUUGCGAUUUUCAUUUUUCCAUUCAGGUGUUGAACGAAAAAGUGGUUUUCUAAAAUAUAAGUUCUUCAGUAUGAUUUAGAUUUUGGUAAAGGUAAAGAAUACAUAUAUAUUUACAUAUAAUAAAUGACUAGGUUUCCAAGAACAUAAUCCGUUAGAAGUAAGAUUUCCUGUGCAAGUUUUAUGAUCAUUAGCUAAUUUUGGUUAACUAUACCAGUCUUAUAUUUUUUUUAUUAAUUGCUUAGGGGCGAAUAUGUUUCUGAACUUGAAGAGAGGAAUAAUGAGGUAACUCAGUUACGGGUAAAGGUUGAAAGCUUUACUAUGCAAGAGAAUACAUUGGAUGAAAGAAUGAGGUUGCUCUUUCUGUUAUCCAAACUCUUUUUGAAGUCAAGGCAGAAAAGGUCUGUUUAGUGGCGUCAUGGUUUAGACAUGGGUUGGAUGGAAUUACGUGGGGUAUGGUGCUGGAAAAGACAGGUAUUAACUCACGAUGAAGCUGUUGAACUGCAGAAAAUGAUGGUUGUUCUGCUGAAUGUAUGCAUGUCUUUAACUAAGGAUCGCUGUUAAUGGGGUCUUCACUCAUCAACCGAUUGAAUAUAAAAAAAAUUAAGUAGAGACGAUGAAUUCAUCAAGUGAAGUCUCUGAAUUUUGCUUGAUCUAUAUUAUCUCAUAUUUACAUUUGUUGUUGUAGUUUGAGUGAGAAUGUUGUGUGUAGAGAUUCUAAGUGAUAUUACAGAAUUAAACUCUCUUACUU
Molecule: long non-coding RNA, 1948 nt
Filed under: Helianthus annuus (common sunflower)
Lineage: Eukaryota; Viridiplantae; Streptophyta; Magnoliopsida; Asterales; Asteraceae
Description: sRNA HanXRQr2_Chr03g0120211
Source: RNAcentral